Molecule: ribosomal RNA, 449 nt
Filed under: uncultured bacterium
Lineage: Bacteria
Description: partial 16S ribosomal RNA
Rfam family: Bacterial small subunit ribosomal RNA
Source: RNAcentral
AAUGAACGCUGGCGGCAUGCCUAACACAUGCAAGUCGAACGAAGGCUUCGGCCUUAGUGGCGCACGGGUGCGUAACGCGUGGGAAUCUGCCCUCAGGUUCGGAAUAACAGCGAGAAAUUGCUGCUAAUACCGGAUGAUAUCGCGAGAUCAAAGAUUUAUCGCCUGAGGAUGAGCCCGCGUAGGAUUAGCUAGUUGGUGUGGUAAAGGCGCACCAAGGCGACGAUCCUUAGCUGGUCUGAGAGGAUGAUCAGCCACACUGGGACUGAGACACGGCCCAGACUCCUACGGGGGGCAGCAGUGGGGAAUAUUGGACAAUGGGCGAAAGCCUGAUCCAGCAAUGCCGCGUGAGUGAUGAAGGCCUUGGGGUUGUAAAGCUCUUUUACCCGGGAUGAUAAUGACAGUACCGGGAGAAUAAGCUCCGGCUAACUCCGUGCCAGCCGCCGCAGUAA